RNAcentral lists this long non-coding RNA (1614 nucleotides) under Anser cygnoides (Swan goose). RNAcentral's name for it is "lncRNA (ENSACDG00005016722.1)". The record is from RNAcentral. Lineage: Eukaryota; Metazoa; Chordata; Aves; Anseriformes; Anatidae.
AUGUGGUCCUUUGGGUCUAUUGCAACACCAGAAUACCACAUGAGAGCAACAUCUGAAAUUCAGUUGUGUGUUGGAACAUAUCUGUUUUCCCAGGAAAACUGUAUUCAGAAUCCAACUGACAGGUCAAGAACACUUCAUCUGCAGCUUGUAACAGGAUAUUUUGAGAAUGUGCUUCUGUUUUUGACAUAUGUUGGAAAAGGCACUAUAUGGACCAUAUCUCACCUGCAGAGCAAACUGUAAGAAAAGUGGUUGUAUUGUCUGUUUCUCACUGAUAAAUGUACUUAGUGUUUUAAAAAGAGUAAAGCUAGCAUUCUUUUAAGGUAGUAAAGCUACCACUUUGCUGUAAUAGAAAACAUCUAUCUUCUGUUUGAAGAGAUACCAGAUUUUUGUUGUUGUUGAUUUGUUUGUUUUUAAAGAAUUGUAAAAUCAGCUUUCAGGCAAAAAAUUUCCAGCUGACUUGAGCAACAGCAAAAAACCAUGAGACUAGGGCUAGCAGGGGGCUUUGCCACAGCUGUCUGUAAGUGACAAUGUAUCAUCAGCUUAUCAUUCCAGAAGCAGUUUGAGGACUUUUCUCACUAUCUUCCCACUCACUCCAGGAGUGGGGAGGUAAUUUUCCUUUGCCUUUUAGCCGUGAUAAGUAGUUUACCCUUGAGGAAAAAGGAGAGGGGAGGGGAGGGGAGCGGAGAGGAGCGGAGAGGAGAGGAGAGGAGAGGAGAGGAGAGGAGCGGAGCGGAGCGGAGCGGAGAGGAGAGAGAAGAGAGUCUUUGGGAUUACCUGUUUGGGAAACCCAUCUUCUCUGGCAUUAAAAAAAUCAUGCAGAGUUGGGCAGUCCUUCACUAAAGCCGGUCUUUGUGAACAACCUUCCUCCUGCUCCAAAGCAGGCUAUGAGAAGGCAGGAACAUCUCUGAUAACACACUCUUUACGAUGUUACUUUUAUAACAAUACCUAUACAGUUUCUAAGCAUGCUGAAAUGUCACCCUAAGUUAUAAAAGUUUCUUAGACUUGAUGGUGAUAGAUUUUAUCCACUUGGAUGCUAUAAGAAUAGACACCAAGAAUUGCUUUUUUGUCACUCAGUUGGCGUACACAAACCCUGUAUACUCACUCAGUUACCCCAGCUGUUAAAUGCAAUUUAGCAAAACACUUAAACAUAUCCUAUGUGUAGCCUGAAGGUAUGAAAUGGUACAAUAGCUCUUCCUAUGCUCCCCUGGGGGGGGAACAAAGUAGUAUGACCUUAGUCUUCCUAUUUUGUCCCUAAGUAUCUACAGUACCAUAUUACAGAGAAAUCUGUUAUGUCAGGUCACUUGAAGAUAAUAUAAUUGAAACAUCAUGUCUGCGUGCACACAUAUAUACACAUGUGAUAAAUGUUUUGAAUCUUGGGUGUCCCCUUACAGUGGGUCAUCCUGUGAAAAAGAUGUAGCUCAAAUCCAGCAUUGCAGAUGGGACCUUCUGAUUCAAACUGUGGAGGGCCAAAUAUGCCCUUAACAAUUCCUUAUCUAUGUACCACAGUAUGCUGAACACUGUGGAUUACUCCUGUUCUCCUUGGGCUUUCCACAGGUGCAAGGACAGGGAUGUUAAAGCCUGGAGCCAAUAAAUACAGGCUUUCAUAUUUUAUCA